UACGUAGGGUGCGAGCGUUAAUCGGAAUUACUGGGCGUAAAGCGUGCGCAGGCGGUUUUGCAAGACAGAUGUGAAAUCCCCGGGCUUAACCUGGGAACUGCAUUUGUGACUGCAAGGCUAGAGUGUGUCAGAGGGAGGUGGAGUUCCGCGUGUAGCAGUGAAAUGCGUAGAGAUGCGGAGGAACACCGAUGGCGAAGGCAGCCUCCUGGGAUAACACUGACGCUCAUGCACGAAAGCGUGGGGAGCAAACAGG
This 253-nucleotide ribosomal RNA is filed under the name uncultured bacterium. RNAcentral describes it as "partial 16S ribosomal RNA". It matches the Rfam family "Bacterial small subunit ribosomal RNA", at positions 524 to 776 of the family's 1533-position model. The record is from RNAcentral.